RNAcentral lists this long non-coding RNA (386 nucleotides) under Setaria viridis. RNAcentral's name for it is "long non-coding RNA (SVIR_LNC004309)". Lineage: Eukaryota; Viridiplantae; Streptophyta; Magnoliopsida; Poales; Poaceae. The record is from RNAcentral.
GGAAAUUGAGGAAGACAAUGGCUCACUUGCGUGUAUACGUGCGUGGCACUUGUGAGUAAGAUGAUUUGAAUUUUCGUGAGUCGUAGGAUGGAGAAUGUAUACGUGCGUGGCACUUGUGAGUAAGAUGAUUUGAAUUUUCGUGAGUCGUAGGAUGGAGAAUGGAGAGAGAUGGACAGAGUUACAGCGUGACUUGCCAGAGGGGUCCAUACGUGAUGACGUAGUGGGGAGUUUAUUAUUAGGGAUCUGCUGUGGGUUACAUGAUUUUUUUUGAAAGAAAUUUUUAGUAGAGCUCCAAUAAAUAAUCCGGGAAAGAAUUUUCUUGCCUUACCUACGUUACUCUACUUUAGGCGUCACACAAAUAACUUUUUUUUUCUUCUUCGUCACUG